GACGAACGCUGGCGGCGUGCCUAACACAUGCAAGUCGAACGAGGUACAAGGGAGCUUGCUCCCUGAAGACCUAGUGGCGAACGGGUGAGUAACACGUGAGAAACCUGUCCUCGAGUGAGGAAUAAGCCGGGGAAACCCGGGCGAAUACCGCAUACGCUCCGCUGGUCGCAGGGCCGGAGGAGGAAAGUUUUUCGCUCAAGGGGGGUCUCGCGGCCUAUCAGCUUGUUGGGGGGGUAACGGCCCACCAAGGCUACGACGGGUAGCUGGUUUGAGAGAGCGAUCAGCCACACUGGGACUGAGACACGGCCCAGACUCCUACGGGAGGCAGCAGUGGGGAAUCUUGCGCAAUGGGCGAAAGCCUGACGCAGCAACGCCGCGUGCGGGAUGACGGCCUUCGUGGUUGUAAACCGCUUUCAGCAGGGACGAAAAUGACGGUACCUGCAGAAGAAGCUCCGGCUAACUACGUGCCAGCCGCCGCAGUAA
Molecule: ribosomal RNA, 483 nt
Filed under: uncultured bacterium
Lineage: Bacteria
Description: partial 16S ribosomal RNA
Rfam family: Bacterial small subunit ribosomal RNA
Source: RNAcentral